GUCUUCCCUUCCCUGCAAUGCAACUCUAUAAAAAUAUGCACUUCUAGUGAAUUAGAGAGAGAGACACAGAGAGAGAGAGAGAGAGAGAGAGAGAGAGAGAGAGAUGCCGGGUUGGGGACCGCCGCCGGGAGGACCUCCAGGGCCGGCAGGGCCAUGUGGUUGCUGUGCUUUCUGUUGUGAUGGAAUUUUCAGGCUUUUUUCUUCAUGUUUCUAUCUCUUGUGCUGCUGUUGCAUCCUAGAGACCUGCUGUGGACCUGUGUUUGGUGGGCCACCUGGACCCCCUGGCCCACCUGGCGGGCCCCCUGGACCUCCCCCGCCUUGGUAGAUAGAUCAUGUGUAUGACAUAUCGAUCCCGAGUACAUUUUAUGCAUAUACCAUAUAUCAACCUAGCUACCUACUUGAAAUUUGAGAUGAUGUUGUAUUAAUUUGUUGAAACAAUCGCUUCCUAGGUAUUUCACUGUUUGCCCUCUUUUAUGCUUAUUCUGUGUGUAAACAAGUUGUUGCUUUAGGGUUUUCUUUAUGCCAUUUUAGCUUCUUUUUUUCUUUCUACUGUUAUGGUAUUUAUGACUUGGGUUUGUAUUAGA
Molecule: long non-coding RNA, 584 nt
Organism: Prunus dulcis (almond)
Lineage: Eukaryota; Viridiplantae; Streptophyta; Magnoliopsida; Rosales; Rosaceae
Exons: 2
Source: RefSeq, a predicted model, not a curated record